GACGAACGCUGGCGGCGUGCCUAAUACAUGCAAGUAGAACGCACAGUUUAUACCGUAGCUUGCUACACCAUAGACUGUGAGUUGCGAACGGGUGAGUAACGCGUAGGUAACCUGCCUGGUAGCGGGGGAUAACUAUUGGAAACGAUAGCUAAUACCGCAUAAUAUUAAUUAUUGCAUGAUAAUUAAUUGAAAGGUGCAAUUGCACCACUACCAGAUGGACCUGCGUUGUAUUAGCUAGUAGGUGAGGUAACGGCUCACCUAGGCGACGAUACAUAGCCGACCUGAGAGGGUGAUCGGCCACACUGGGACUGAGACACGGCCCAGACUCCUACGGGAGGCAGCAGUAAGGAAUCUUCGGCAAUGGACGAAAGUCUGACCGAGCAACGCCGCGUGAGUGAAGAAGGUUUUCGGAUCGUAAAGCUCUGUUGUAAGAGAAGAACGGGUGUGAGAGUGGAAAGUUCACACUGUGACGGUAUCUUACCAGAAAGGGACGGCUAACUACGUG
RNAcentral lists this ribosomal RNA (505 nucleotides) under uncultured bacterium. RNAcentral's name for it is "partial 16S ribosomal RNA". It matches the Rfam family "Bacterial small subunit ribosomal RNA", at positions 28 to 507 of the family's 1533-position model. The record is from RNAcentral.